UCAGACGAUGCGUCAUGCAUAUCAAUAAGCGAGGAAAAGAAACUAACAAGGAUUCCCCUAGUAACGGCGAGUGAAGCGGGAAGAGCUCAAAUUUGAAAUCUUAAAGGGUUUCCCUUUACGAAUUGUAGUUUAAAGAAGUGUUUUCUGUUGAGGUUUUGGUAAAAGUUCUUUGGAAUAGGACAUCAUAGAGGGUGAGAAUCCCGUAUUUGACCUUUACUUUCAACUUUGUGAUACACUUUCAAAGAGUCGGAUUGUUUGGGAAUGCAGUCCAAAAUGGGUGGUAAAUUUCAUCUAAAGCUAAAUAUUGGCGAGAGACCGAUAGCGAACAAGUACCGUGAGGGAAAGAUGAAAAGAACUUUGAAAAGAGAGUUAAACAGUACGUGAAAUUGUCAAAAGGGAAGCGUUUGACACCAGUGUUGUUUUUCUGAAAAUCAAUUAAAGAACUGUUUAUGCUAAGUUGUUUAGACUUUAUCAGCUAUACUGUUUAGUUUUGAGCUUUUCUUUAAUGCACUUUUCAGUUAACAAGUCAACAUCAAUUUCUUUUGCUGUAAAAAAGCUUGAGGAAGGUGGCUUGAGAUUCGUCUUAAGUGUUUAUAGCCUCUUGCCUAUGCAGUCGGAGAGAUUGAGGUCUGCAGCGUAGAUCCUUCGGGGCUAAAUGCAUUUGUGCUAAGUUAUAGCAUUUUCAUAGACAACUUGUUGACUAUGAUUUGUCUUGUAGCUUACUCGCUUAUGUUAUUUUACCUACGCUUAGGAUGUUGAAUCUGUGCGAGACUAC
Molecule: ribosomal RNA, 775 nt
Filed under: uncultured Neocallimastigales
Lineage: Eukaryota; Fungi; Neocallimastigomycota; Neocallimastigomycetes; Neocallimastigales
Description: partial large subunit ribosomal RNA
Rfam family: Eukaryotic large subunit ribosomal RNA
Source: RNAcentral